RNAcentral lists this unclassified non-coding RNA (378 nucleotides) under uncultured Paenibacillaceae bacterium. RNAcentral describes it as "contains 16S-23S intergenic spacer region". The record is from RNAcentral. Lineage: Bacteria; Bacillati; Bacillota; Bacilli; Caryophanales; Paenibacillaceae.
UCCGGCUUAUCACCGGCAGUCAUCUUAGAGUGCCCACCUUGCGUGCUGGCAACUAAGAUCAAGGGUUGCGCUCGUUGCGGGACUUAACCCAACAUCUCACGACACGAGCUGACGACAACCAUGCACCACCUGUCUCCUCUGCCCCGAAGGGAAGCUCGAUCUCUCGAGCGGUCAAAGGGAUGUCAAGACCUGGUAAGGUUCUUCGCGUUGCUUCGAAUUAAACCACAUACUCCACUGCUUGUGCGGGUCCCCGUCAAUUCCUUUGAGUUUCAGUCUUGCGACCGUACUCCCCAGGCGGAAUGCUUAAUGUGUUAACUUCGGCACCAAGGGUAUCGAAACCCCUAACACCUAGCAUUCAUCGUUUACGGCGUGGACUAC